RNAcentral lists this ribosomal RNA (1109 nucleotides) under uncultured bacterium. RNAcentral describes it as "bacterial SSU rRNA". It matches the Rfam family "Bacterial small subunit ribosomal RNA", at positions 75 to 1168 of the family's 1533-position model. The record is from RNAcentral.
GGUGAUGACGUUGGGAACGCGAGCGGCGGAUGGGUGAGUAACACGUGGGGAACCUGCCCCAUAGUCUGGGAUACCACUUGGAAACAGGUGCUAAUACCGGAUAAGAAAGCAGAUCGCAUGAUCAGCUUAUAAAAGGCGGCGUAAGCUGUCGCUAUGGGAUGGCCCCGCGGUGCAUUUGCUAGUUGGUAGGGUAACGGCCUACCAAGGCAAUGAUGCAUAGCCGAGUUGAGAGACUGAUCGGCCACAUUGGGACUGAGACACGGCCCAAACUCCUACGGGAGGCAGCAGUAGGGAAUCUUCCACAAUGGACGAAAGUCUGAUGGAGCAACGCCGCGUGAGUGAAGAAGGAAAACGGAUCGUAAAGCUCUGUUGUUGGUGAAGAAGGAUUUUGGUAGUAACUGGCCUUUAUUUGACGGUAAUCAACCAGAAAGUCACGGCUAACUACGUGCCAGCAGCCGCGGUAAUACGUAGGUGGCAAGCGUUGUCCGGAUUUAUUGGGCGUAAAGCGAGCGCAGGCGGAAGAAUAAGUCUGAUGUGAAAGCCCUCGGCAUAACCGAGGAACUGCAUCGGAAACUGUAAAAACUUGAGUGCAGAAGAGGAGAGUGGAACUCCAUGUGUAGCGGUGGAAUGCGUAGAUAUAUGGAAGAACACCAGUGGCGAAGGCGGCUCUCUGGUCUGCAACUGACGCUGAGGCUCGAAAGCAUGCGUAGCGAACAGGAUUAGAUACCCUGGUAGUCCAUGCCGUAAACGAUGAGUGCUAAGUGUUGGGAGGUUUCCGCCUCUCAGUGCUGCAGCUAACGCAUUAAGCACUCCGCCUGGGGAGUACGACCGCAAGGUUGAAACUCAAAGGAAUUGACGGGGGCCCGCACAAGCGGUGGAGCAUGUGGUUUAAUUCGAAGCAACGCGAAGAACCUUACCAGGUCUUGACAUCUAGUGCAAUCCGUAGAGAUACGGAGUUCCCUUCGGGGACACUAAGACAGGUGGUGCAUGGCUGUCGUCAGCUCGUGUCGUGAGAUGUUGGGUUAAGUCCCGCAACGAGCGCAACCCUUGUCAUUAGUUGCCAGCAUUAAGUUGGGCACUCUAAUGAGACUGCCGGUGAGAAACCGGAG